UUUCCUUUUAUUUCUUCUCCUUUUUUCCUUCUUUUUUUCCCUAUUUCUCUACCCGAGCCCUAUUUCUUCCCUCGCAAAACCUUCCUCCCCUCUUCUCAUCGCCGAUUCUCUUCGUCGAGCUCGUGUCGUUGCCUCCUAUUGAUUUCCUCUUCCUCAUCAUCUCCCCCUCUGCUUCCUUCAACGAGGAGCGGUGUCGGCGUCCCUUUGCCCUAGCCAAGCCAGUCGUCUGAGAGCCGCCAUCACUCCUCUCCUUCUCCCGAGUGCAGCCGUGGCCGAGUGUAGUCGUCGCCGGAAAGAGGGAUCAUCACCAGCCCUCGUGUCUUUGCCCUAGAGCGCCGACAGCCUCCUCUCUACCCUCUUCCGAUCCUGAGGUUGCUUUCGUGCUGGCACAGAUCCACCAUCGCUGUGCCCUAGCUCCGCUCCUCCAUUUUCCUGAGUUCUCUCCUCUCACGCGGUCCGUGUAGAAGGAAGCAUCCACUGCUUGGUGUCGCCGUCCCCGUCGCCGUCGCUGGGAGGGUGGAGUUGACGAAGGGGUUGAGGGCAAACUUUUCCCCUUGCUUGCGGAUCUGAGUAGAGCUGUAAUGUGCCCUAAGUCGAAUCAGUGGUUGCUCUACCUGGCUGUGGAUCAACAGCGGUGGCUGUGAGAUUGCGGACUUUGAUUCGAGACGAGCAUCUCGACUUGGGUUUUAUCGGAUACGACAUUCUUUUGAGGCGGGU
Zingiber officinale is the source of this 717-nucleotide long non-coding RNA. RefSeq lists it as uncharacterized. The record is from RefSeq and is a predicted model, not a curated record. Lineage: Eukaryota; Viridiplantae; Streptophyta; Magnoliopsida; Zingiberales; Zingiberaceae. The transcript has 3 exons.